UCAAAAACCCUUUAACUUUAAAUUAGAAAAAUAUUUAAAUCUGUGUCGGCGUGGUGUUGCUUUACUAUUUGCUGCUAUUUGUAAUUUUUUUCGUUUUUAGCAAAAAUACAACAGUUAUUAGUGAGUCUUGUGUUUAGAGAUAUAUUCUAUUUACUUUUGUGACUCCCAAGGACGUUAGUGACUGAAAAUUUAACUACCUAUUUGAAUAUAUAGUAUGUAAUAAGAAUUAUCUGGAAGGAUACGCUUUUUCGCAUUUAUUCUGUAACAUUUGUAUCUAUUUAAUUAUGGAGACUUAUAAUGAAGAACCUCAAAUGGAGGCAUAUAUUGAAGCACCUCAAAUGAAUUAUGCUACAUACAAUUUUGAGAACACUGCCUUGGAACUUGCACGGGCUCAAUGGCCUAACUAUGCCGAUCAGCAUUACUUAAAGGGUUGUAAGUGGUCUCCAGAUGGGACAUGCUUAUUGACUGUUGUAAGAGGUGGUGGAAUGAAUGUUUUCGAAUUACCCAGUGAUCUUUAUUCUUGUGAUUCUGUAAUGCAAAGUAGACAAAUAGGAGCGUUAACACCUGCAGUUUCUGUACCUGAAACUGGACUUAUAUACGACUAUAGCUGGUAUCCUGGGAUGAAUAGUGGCAAUGCAGCUACCUGUUGUUGGCUUUCAAGUGGACAUGAAGGACCUAUUCAUCUUUGGGAUGCUUUUACCGGAGAUCUAAGGUGUUCUUACAGAGGAUAUAAUGCUGUAGAUGAAUUGGAAUCAGCAAUGAGUGUUACCUUUUCAGCUGACGGUCAAAAUAUAUUUUGUGGUUAUAAAAAGAAUGUAAAGAUUUUUGCCACAGGUCGCCCUGGAAGAGAAUAUGUGGAAUACCCUACUACACAUCAAGCUUCAUGUAUUGUUGCCAGCCAAGCACAGCCCGGUGUAGUAGCUAUAGGUACUGUUAAAAAUACAAUAGAACUUGUUUCACAAAGCGACGGUACUUUCCGUCAUCUGUGUAAGCUUCAAGGACAAAAGGGCGGAAUAACAACAAUGGUAUUUUCAUUGGACGGUUCCAGAUUAUACAGUGGUUCAAGAAAAGACAAAGAAUUAAUCUGUUGGGAUCUUCGUGUACCCGGCAGACCUAUGUUUGUACUUCCUCGAGAAUGUAGUUCGAAUCAGAGGAUUAGUAUUGAUCUUUCCAUGGACAAUAAGUGGUUAGUUUCUGGAGGAACAGAUGGCAAGGUACAGGUUUGGAAUGUUAGUGAGCAAAGUUAUCCUUCAGUUCAUAUGCAGGCCUUUAUACAGUUGGUCAUCACAGGUAUCGUGACCCUGGACUUAAUUCGAGGACUAUUAAUUUUCUUAUUUCGACAUAAAAUCACUUAAAAGUCAUCUAAUUUACCUAAAUAGGAUUCGAUGACUAUUAUUCGACUAUCGAUGAGUUUGCAUAACGAUAGCUGUAACGGCGUCAGCUUGCACCCGUACAGGCCUGUAUUGGCCACGGCCAGCGGUCAGCACCACGCCAUAGAUCCGUUGCAUCACAGCCGGACCAUGCCGGUGUACGAGAACGCCCUCUGUAUGUGGUGGGUGGGGGUACAGCAAGAAGAUCCGGAUUUGUUCACGACGAUAAUCAAGGCCGCCACGCAUUCUUCGGCUUAGAGGCGCGAAGCCCACCAGUUCCUUAGCUGCCCGUAUUUUCAAUUUUUAUAACUUAAUGUUUUAGUUUUAACAUUUCCUAAUUGUAGGAAUGGAUAUCAUCAAUAAAUAUUUUCGAUUUUUUA
Sitophilus oryzae (rice weevil) is the source of this 1750-nucleotide RNA transcript. It is a transcript of the gene named telomerase Cajal body protein 1 homolog, with no coding region annotated. NCBI's taxonomy places the organism in Eukaryota, Metazoa, Arthropoda, Insecta, Coleoptera, Curculionidae. The record is from RefSeq and is a predicted model, not a curated record. The transcript is spliced from 6 exons.